This is a long non-coding RNA of Carya illinoinensis, 1314 nucleotides long. RefSeq lists it as uncharacterized. NCBI's taxonomy places the organism in Eukaryota, Viridiplantae, Streptophyta, Magnoliopsida, Fagales, Juglandaceae. The transcript has 2 exons. The record is from RefSeq and is a predicted model, not a curated record.
CAGUUAGUAUAUUUUUUUGAUAUACUUUUGGUUAUUUCUUCCAUCAUCACUAGGGUUGCCUUCGCCGUCCGUUUCCCUCUUCAUGCGCGUCUCUUUCUCUAGGGUUUUUUCCAUCGUCUAUAAAUAUAUACAUACGUACCUGCAUGUGAUAGUUUCCCAAGCCUAUAGCUGCCGCAAACCUUCCACGGCAGUCUCCACCCUCCACAACCUCCAUGCAGUCACCGUCCCUGUCUCUGAACCUCCGCACCCACGGCGUUAGACCUCGCCUGCAGCUUAGUUGCAAGACCUCACCAUCACAAAAAACCCACGCCCGUGUGCGCUCAACGACGGAAGCCACUGGCCAUUGCCCAACCCCAUGUGAAACCGUAAGCCAGCCCAGCCGUGAACGUACGUGGAGCCACCGCUGGCCAUCACCUAAAAGGGACCUCUGUUUUUGCUCCCCAAACAGAGCAUCUACCACAACCUCUGGCCAGCCACCGUACCCCAGCCCUGUAACCACCGUGUAAGAAAGCCACCACGUCACCUGCAGUCACACGGUGAGCCUCUGUUUUUCGCAAAAAAAAAAAACAGAACAAUCCACAUACAGCAAACUCCUUCACAUCGAAGCUGCAGCAAGCCACUGUGUAGCUCCUCCACUGCACUGCUUUUGCACCACCAUAGCAGGCUCACGGUGACCUUUCCGCACGGUGUACGUAUUAUAUGCUCGUUGGGACCGGAGCAUUAAAAAAUUUGUAAGGGAAGCUUUGCACGUAGGGUACCGAUUGUGAAGAUUUGAAGUGGAGAGAAGGUUGUGUGCAAACUAGGGUAGCCAAUUAUGGGAUUUGAAGACUAAGAAGUUGGUGAACCAAGAACGGAAGGGAGAAGGCCGGUGUGAAGAAAUGAGGAGUGGAAAAUGGGUUAAAAUCUCACGACAAAAGAGUUGACACUGUGAGAGAACACUGAGAAGGGUGGAGCUUGUAGGCGAUGAAAAUGGAGUCUGUUGGUGCAAUGGGUCGAAGUGCAGAAGGGUGGUCAUGUGUCGAUGUGGGCAAACAUGGGGGGAAAUAAGUUGGGGGGAAAUGAAAGGCAUAGUGGCUUUUGGCGCCCCUUUCGCUCCUAUCUUGACAAAAAUCACAGCGUUGCCAAAAUAAUUUUAUGUUGCGACGUUGUAAUUUGUCCUAAAACCCACUAUAAAUUGUCACUAGGGUUGUAACUGGUCCGGUUUGGUUUGGUUUUGGAUAAAAUUUAGGAUUGAAACAGUAUCCAUCAGUUUUGCAUUUUUCAAAACCGAUUACGCACUAGUUAUCCCCUUAAACCGGUACUCCGGUUUUACCA